RNAcentral lists this ribosomal RNA (510 nucleotides) under uncultured bacterium. RNAcentral describes it as "partial 16S ribosomal RNA". It matches the Rfam family "Bacterial small subunit ribosomal RNA", at positions 28 to 507 of the family's 1533-position model. The record is from RNAcentral.
GACGAACGCUGGCGGCGUGCUUAACACAUGCAAGUCGAACGAAGAGCGAUGGAAGCUUGCUUCUAUCAAUCUUAGUGGCGCACGGGUGAGUAACGCGUAAUCAACCUGCCCUUCAGAGGGGGACAACAGUUGGAAACGACUGCUAAUACCGCAUACGAUCUAAUCUCGGCAUCGAGGAUAGAUGAAAGGUGGCCUCUACAUGUAAGCUAUCACUGAAGGAGGGGAUUGCGUCUGAUUAGCUAGUUGGAGGGGUAACGGCCCACCAAGGCGAUGAUCAGUAGCCGGUCUGAGAGGAUGAACGGCCACAUUGGGACUGAGACACGGCCCAGACUCCUACGGGAGGCAGCAGUGGGGAAUCUUCCGCAAUGGACGAAAGUCUGACGGAGCAACGCCGCGUGAGUGAUGACGGCCGUCGGGUUGUAAAGCUCUGUUAAUCGGGACGAAAGGCCUUCUUGCGAAUAGGGAGAAGGAUUGACGGUACCGGAAUAGAAAGCCACGGCUAACUACGUG